AAAAUGGAAACAUCGUUGUUAGUAGAAAUAUAAUAAAUGAUUACGAAAUGAACUUAAAUGAAAAUAGAUUUAUAACCAUUUUUUUAAUUUAAAUAUACGAGAAAUAUCAUGGACCAGGACUGGCUCCUUUCCUGGUUUUGUAUGAAGGAUAUAUUUCUGGAAAAGAAUUGGAGAAGUGUUUUAGGUUGCUCUGUUUGUGAUUAUAUCUUUAAAGCUCAAGGAAAGUAUUUGCUAAUUUCUGGUCAGUUUUCCUGAAGACAUUCCUGUCAUUGCAACAUGAUUUGGUUAUUUCAACUGUAUAUUUUGUCAUAUUUCGUCAUUGUUUAUGUUGUUAAAAAUGAAGACAAUUUUCAAGGAAAAAGCCUUAACAUGGUGAACAUAAAUAUCAAAAAACAGACUUAUGAAAUAUCUCGGGUGACGUAGCUAAUUCUAUUUUCCCGAUGACGUUUUUAACGAGGACCAUGUUGUGAAAUGGAAGUCUAACCUAGAGUUUCAUGAAAACAAAAAAAACAGGAAAGCAAUGAUGGCAACGUUGAUGAUAAUUAUGGAGGAUAUGUGAAUUUAAGGACCAAUGUUCCAUGACUUAAAGAAAGAGUUUACAGCCAAUAAACACACUGGUGAGAAGGUGUACUAUGUUGGUCAACAUGGUUAUGAUGUGUUAAAUGUUCAAAACCAACAACUGUUCUUACUGUGAAAACUUUUGAUCUACUAAGAAAGUCAAACUUUUACAGAACAUGGAUGAAUGUACAAUAUUGCAAAGAAUAUGGUUACUUUCACAUUUUGAAGACUGGAAAAAGGAUGUCUUUUCUAUGUCAAUAUUUACUUGUUGAACUGAGUCUCCAGAAUGACUCACGGAAUAAUAAAAGAAGAAUUUAAGAUCUGUUUCCGCUUGCCAUUGCUAUUGGUUUAUCUGUUUUUCAAACUUUAAUGGUGGUUUAUUAGAGCGAAUUAUUUUUUCGAGAGGCUUAGAAGAUCUUGGGUCUGUUGAAGAGAGUAAUGUUGGCAAUAGAAACAGGUUACAAAUGUCUCGUGAAACCCUUCAAAAUGCUGGUGUAUCAGCGAAUGAAACUCGUGAAUCUAAAGAGUCGUUUAGAUGACGUGAUCCGUGUUUCCCACGAGAGUCGUUGAAAUAACGAGAGACGAGUUGCUCUUGUUGUUGAAAAAUGGAAGUCUUCGGAGUUUUAUGAAAACAGAAAAAGAAAGUUGUUAUUUCAAUGUUAACGAUAAACAUGGAGAAUGUGUGAAGUUAAAGGCCGAUGCCCCACUAAGUACAGAGAGGUUACAGCCAAUCAACGUGUCUUCCAAGAAGACAACCACAAUGACGUCACGUAGUAUGGCGUCACAUGACAACCGUUUAAGAAACAUGAUUCCAGUGAUUCAGUGAGAAAUUAUACCAACAUGGGCUACAGUCAAUAUGGCGAUGAUAUGUCUAAUGUUCAUCAAUAACCUAUUGUUGUUGUGAGAAUAUUUGAUCAUCCAGGAAAGUCGUACUCUUACAGACAAAGGAGAUCAUUGCCAAGAAAUCACUCAAGACUGAACUACAAAAAAUCUUUUAAAUCUUCGACGACUCGCAGACGAAAACCUUUACCAUCUGCCUGGACAAUAAACCUUCGAAAUUCGCCGUCAAGACAUGAAAAUUAUGAAGAUGUUCACUCUUAUUACUUACCACCUAGAAGAAAAGCCAAAUAUCAAGUCUCAACUCGUACACGAGAUUACAUGAAUCACGAAAUGAAAGUUUGUGAAGAUAAAAGUCGUGGCUCUGGUAAUAAUAAAAGAUACAUAGUUGAAAACCGUCCAAAACUAUCCCAUGCUAAAAAUGCUAAAACCUCGACUUAUUACAAAACUUCUGGUCGAUCACAACUCUGCUCACAUUCAGAUGCGUCAGAAGUAGAUUAUAAUCAUCGCCUGUCCUUCAAGACCAAAUUAAGGAUCAAAAUUUUCAGGCAAUUUAUUCCGACAAAAAGUGGGAAGGGAAAUCACAUGAGCCAAAAAUCAUGUCCAUUGUCAGUGGCAGUGAGUUUUCUGAAUUCUUACCCACUCCUCCACGGCCAAGCGACAGCUAAUCAGAUAUUUCUACGGAUGGAUAUUCCCGUGGUAGUUAUAAAUCAUUUAAAAACAAACUUGAAAGAAACGUUAAAGAAAACAGGGAGGUUGUUGUUGAAGACAGAAGUCAAUCAGAUCAAGAAAAACAUAAUGAAUCAUUUGAAGAAACUUUAGAGCGUUUACGAAAUGGUGAGACGUGUGAGAGGAAUGGAAACGAAAGUAGAAAAAACGUCGGUUCAUUUAAUAAAGAGACGAGCAGCUCAUCGUGGACUCAUAAUGACAGCGGUUUUAGAAAGAAGCAUUAUGUGCCAAUAAAUGGUGUUAAAGUCCUACCACCAGAACCAGUUUUUAUUCAGUUUAAAAGUAGCGAUGAGGAGAAAAAAAAUUAAAGUUGAAUGAUUUAUUAACCAGCUAUUUUAGACUUAUAAAUGAUUCACUUUAUAUGGGGAAUUUACUAUCUAUGUAAUAACUUUCUAUUUAUUUUUCAUACAUUUGAAGGACAUUUAAAUCCACAAAUUAUUCAUUCUCCCCCCUCCCCCCAUGGAUAACAUAAAGCAUUUUUUCAAAAAAAUGUACUUCCUACUGUUAUUUUGAAAUUUCUACAUUGUUAAAAUAAUCUUUUUUAUGACGACAUUGCAAACAAGGCCUUAUUAUUGAUGUUUCUUACCUGACGGAAAAUGUUAUAGAAAUACACUUGUUGAAAUACCUAUUGGAAACUGUGAUUGGAGAUCAGUGGUUUAUCUAUAUGAAACGUUUCAUAAUUUGUUAAUAAACAAGCGUUUACAAAGCGAUUGCAAGAACGAGCAAGAAAGCAUAGAGAAAAUGAAUGAUCAUUUAUCUUCUAUAAGAGCUCACCAUUGACUCAUAUUGGCAGCGGUUUUCGUAUAAUAGAUCAUAUGGCUAAAAUAUGGUGAAAAAUGCGAUAAAGAGAAAGUAAAUUCCAGUUUAAUGGUUUAGAAAAUGAAAUAUUUAGCUUUUCUAUUUCGCUGUUUGAACGAAAUUUAUGGUGAUGUAUGUGAUGAAUAACCGACUGUUUUUUUGUGUUUCCUCUAAUGUAUUUGCUUAUGUCUCACACCAAAGUCAUUUUCGAAAGCAUUCGCGUGUAAAAUUUAAUCUACGUCCUUUCAAAACUCCUCCAAUCACCGCCACCAAGGGUCGCCAGGUCACUAUAUCUUGCUGUGAUCUUCUCAAAUUUAGAAAAUUUAUGUAGAUAUGAGAACUUGCAAAACAAGUCAUUCUUGUUGUUUUGAUGCUUGUAGUCAGACGGUAGUAAAAACGGUGAAGAAGUCAAUAGUGUUGAAUUACCUGAAGACCGAAGAUUUUUUUAUAUGAAACGUUUAAUAAUUUGUUAAU
Long non-coding RNA from Xenia sp. Carnegie-2017, 3396 nucleotides. RefSeq lists it as uncharacterized. The record is from RefSeq and is a predicted model, not a curated record. The transcript has 11 exons. NCBI's taxonomy places the organism in Eukaryota, Metazoa, Cnidaria, Anthozoa, Malacalcyonacea, Xeniidae.